RNAcentral lists this ribosomal RNA (491 nucleotides) under uncultured bacterium. RNAcentral describes it as "partial 16S ribosomal RNA". It matches the Rfam family "Bacterial small subunit ribosomal RNA", at positions 29 to 506 of the family's 1533-position model. The record is from RNAcentral.
AGUGAACGCUGGCGGUAGGCCUAACACAUGCAAGUCGAACGGCAGCACAGUAAGAGCUUGCUCUUACGGGUGGCGAGUGGCGGACGGGUGAGGAAUACAUCGGAAUCUACUUUUUCUUGGGGGAUAACGUAGGGAAACUUACGCUAAUACCGCAUACGACCUACGGGUGAAAGCAGGGGAUCUUCGGACCUUGCGCGAUUGAAUGAGCCGAUGUCGGAUUAGCUAGUUGGCGGGGUAAAGGCCCACCAAGGCGACGAUCCGUAGCUGGUCUGAGAGGAUGAUAGGCCACACUGGAACUGAGAAACGGUCCAGACUCCUAGGGGAGGCAGCAGUGGGGAAUAUUGGACAAGGGGCGAAAGCCUGACCCAGCCAUACCGCGUGGGUGAAGAAGGCCUUCGGGUUGUAAAGCCCUUUUGUUGGGAAAGAAAAGAAGCAGGUUAAUACCCCGCUGUUCUGACGGUACCCAAAGAAUAAGCACCGGCUAACUUCGU